RNAcentral lists this ribosomal RNA (330 nucleotides) under Rhogostoma sp. Its description in RNAcentral is "SSU rRNA". The stretch from base 111 to 330 matches the Rfam family "Eukaryotic small subunit ribosomal RNA", at positions 736 to 955 of the family's 1831-position model. The record is from RNAcentral. Lineage: Eukaryota; Cercozoa; Thecofilosea; Cryomonadida; Rhogostomidae.
GAUUUCUGGUUUGACGACAAUCUGGCCCGCCAGGUUCGCCUGUGUGUGUGCCGGGUUGCGUCUGCCAUCCUUCUAAGUUGCUGUUGGCCGCCCUUGAUUGGGUGUGCUGGUAGUGGCUUAGAUCGUUGACUUUGAACAAAUUAGAGUGUUUCAGGCAGGCUUUAUUGCUAUGAAUACAUUAGCAUGGAAUAAUAAUCUAGGACUUCGGUUCUAUUUUGUUGGUUUCUAUAACUGAAGUAAUGAUUGAUAGGGACAGUUGGGGGUGCUAGUAUUGGCCGGCCAGAGGUGAAAUUCUUGGAUUCGGUCAAGACUAACUUAUGCGAAAGCAUU